Molecule: unclassified non-coding RNA, 265 nt
Filed under: uncultured fungus
Lineage: Eukaryota; Fungi
Description: sequence contains ITS1
Source: RNAcentral
GUAUUUAAAUGCGUUUAUAGCAAUAAGACAUUCUAGACUUUAAGCGUGUGUAUAAAAACGUAGUGCCGUUCGUCCCCCCAUUAGCCAGAGUUCAUUCACCUAAUGAAAGGCUUCCGAAACAUCCUUUAAACAGGUUCAGAGACAACAACUACAAGUGUGCACAGGUGUGAGUGGAUGAGCAAUGAAUGUGCACAUGCCCCGAGAGGCCAGCGACAAUCCAUGUCAGAACUCGAUAAUGAUCCUUCCGCAGGUUCACCUACGGAAA